Anser brachyrhynchus (Pink-footed goose) is the source of this 2760-nucleotide long non-coding RNA. NCBI's taxonomy places the organism in Eukaryota, Metazoa, Chordata, Aves, Anseriformes, Anatidae. The record is from Ensembl.
AUGUUACCGGAGGGGUGGUUGGUGGUUGUGUUGGGUUGUUGGUUAUUUUCCCUCACGCUUCUAAUUGCGGCUUAUCAGGCGGCUGGCAGGAGCUGGCGGUGCUGCCUAGUGGGCAUGCAGGAGGCUGGGUUCUCCGGGGGCAGGGGACGAUCUCCCAGUGCCUCUCUGGGCUGCCCUUACCCUCCUGGGGAGCAGCAGGCAGAGCUGGAACCAUGGCUCCACAUGAUUUUUGGGACCCCUUGGCAGCCGAUUGCUCCAGCGGCUCAUUGCUCACCCUGCGGUGUAAUAUUCCUUCGGGAGCUGUCUCUGUCUGUGGGUAGUGAGCGCUCUGGACCCUGCUGUUAUUGUCCCGGUGUGCGGCCUUGUCGCUUGGCCUUCCUCUCCCUCGUGGCUUCAGCCUCUGCCACCACUCUGAGGCGGUGUCGGAACUUCCUUCUUCAUAGUCUAAUUGUGAGCUUAACUGCCUGGCUUUGAAGCAGAACGUACUAUAAACUGCAGAAGCAAAUAAGUUUUGAUUUGAUGAAUAGACUUCAUGAGCCUUCCUAUGAAACUGCCGGCUCCGGAAAUUAUGGGUAGCUGAUAGACAAAUGAGUGUUACAAUACAUUUAAAUACACCUCCAUUUUUUGUAUGUAUCGACUUGGAUUCAUGCAGCUGCCUUUUGAGACGCAUUUAUUCUUCCCCUCUGAGUGGGUGAUUAAAAAAAAAAAAAAAAACCUCAAGAGAUCCAUGGAUUUAUUCAGUAAACUCUUGUUAAAUCUCAUUUGGGCUAUGGAGUUUUCUGCUCCCUUAAUGGUGAAAGGAAAAACUUUACCCCCAGAAUCAAAUCUCUUCUCAAUUUUGCUUCUACUUCAAGACCAAUGGGAUGAAAAUGAGGGCAUAUGGAAUAUUUUCAGGCCUCAGAAUAGAUUUAUAUUUCAUAUGGACAUGGGCUUUAGCUGAGUCUUAUUUUAUCAUCUGUUCUUAACCUAAUGAUGAGGCCAAGGAGCAAAGUUUGGAUCCAGUUUUGGAGGGGGAAAGUAUGUGUUGCGAUGAAGGCUGUAUUUGUGAUGGUGUUAAGCUUUCUGGCUAAAUUUAGAAAGUCUGCUUUAAGAUUCAGAAAUGACAUUUUUGUACAAAGCAUUGAUACAUAAAUCUGUAUACUUUCUGAAUAUAUGGAUUUCAUUUAGAGAUUUGACAGCCAGAAUUGAAAACACUUAGCUAUGACAGAAUAUUACCCUGUUAAAUAUCAGCGAGAAAAGAGAAGAAUUAGCAAAGAUGGGAACCAGAUGCAAGAGCAUGCUCUGGACUGAUCCCAGUGUUGGAGGGGAGUGCUUCCUCUCUCGCCCCUGCGCUGGCCCUUCUGCACCGACGCUCAGCAGCUUCCCUGUGGCUUUCCCUGCAGACAGCUGCCCUGACAGCAUCGCGGCCCUGCUGCCUCAGGAAGGAGAGCCAUGAGGAUCAAGGUCUUGCUUACAUUUCAAAUGUCGCUCUGCCCAUUGUGUUGGGAGAGAAAUAUCUACAUGUGUAAAAAUCCAACAGCUUUUCAAGUUGGUCCUAACGUUGAAAGCUUCCUUGUCUGUUUUCCCGUAGUACUUGCCUUCGAGAGAGAUGUCUGCCUGCUGUAAGGGGCAAUUACUUGCUCUGACUGAGAUGGUUUUCGGUGCUUAAAACAAUGCUUAACAAGUGCCUAACAGCUCUGUGCGGUGUUUUCAGGAAUCGCUCUGUAGCGACAGGGGGAAGGAACAAGCAAAGGCAGAGCAUGCUCUGCUUUCUGCCUGACUUGAGAUAAAUGACAGUAAUCACAGAGACGGUAAUCUGGCCUUUUCUGCUCUGCCCACCUGCUGCUGCUGUUGCCAUGCUCUGCACUCUGCUGCCAUCCUCCGUGACAGCGGUGUCUCCAGCUCAGUGCUGCCGGGGAUAACUCGGGGUGGCAAAACCCGUGGUCCUGCGCUGCCAGAGGGGCAAAGAGCUAGGCUGGGGGCGACGCUUGAGCUAGCAGGCAGUGCUUUAACUGCAGAGGUAGCUGGGGGUGUGGAAGGAAAGAUUUUCUACCUGGAACUCUGACCCUUCGAUGGGGAGAGGAAGGGGCAUUGUUGCAAGUCCAGAAAUAUUGAAAAGUAGAUUACCAUAACAACCUGUGUGUUUUAUUCUUAUUAAUAAUAACUGCUAAUGGUAAAUUCAAGAAUAUGACUCCUGCUGGAUGUAACAGAUUGCAAAACGUGGAGGGGAUAUGGAGACCAGGAUAAUGAGAGAGCAGGGUGAAGAGCUGCAAGUUGUAGGACGUGCAGGUCUCUCAUAGCUCUGAGUUCAUGAGCUGAAUGUUGAUGUAGUGUUAGGGCUAAGCAGCAGAUUUUAACCAUGCAGAGCUCUGGGGACGAGGCAGAAACUGUUCCUAGAGAUUUGGGAUGUUCCUGUCAACGGGAAGUGUGAGCCCUUAUACCAGAGUGCAGUGUAUGUGGCCACAAUUUUCUCUCAUCCAGCUAUUUUAGGCUGACCAUCAAUAGUUCAGCACAAAUAAGGAGGGUUAUAAGAAAUAUAAACACACAAGGCUUAUUCUGAGGAAAUACCAACCUAUGUUGUUUUGUGUGUCUGUAUAUAUACAUGCAUAUUUAUAUAAAAUACAGCAUAAAAUUGUAUGCUGCCAAGAUAACAUCUAAUCAUUUUGGGCUUAUUGACUCAAACAUAUGUCACGCAAAAGAUUAAUUUUCCCCUGUAGAUAAACUAGAAUUGACCUUAAAAUGCAAAAUAAAAGCAGUGGCUGUCCCUACUUAUGUAUCUUU